ACCAGAAAAGACGCACGUGACGUCAUGUUUACAUGAUUCCCGAUUGUUAAAAUGAGUAACAAAUUAAACAUAAACUUUAACUACAGAGACACACGUACGCACUACACAGGUACGGACCACAGCCAUGUUCCUGUAAUGGUAAUAUUCCUAACGCAGAGAUGCCUUAUCCACAGAUGAAUAUGAUGGGCCCCCCAACCCCAUUCCAGGAUGGCAUGCCUUCCUAUUCAACUAAAGUUGAAUAAAAUGUUUUGUAUGCUGAAGAAGUCAAAUAUUAAUAAUCUCAUCAACAUUAUUCAAUCGUAUAGCAAUCAUUAUUUCUUAAUAAAUGUUUCUUUC
This is a long non-coding RNA of Carassius auratus (goldfish), 336 nucleotides long. RefSeq lists it as uncharacterized. The record is from RefSeq and is a predicted model, not a curated record. The transcript has 3 exons. NCBI's taxonomy places the organism in Eukaryota, Metazoa, Chordata, Actinopteri, Cypriniformes, Cyprinidae.